This is a long non-coding RNA of Oncorhynchus tshawytscha (Chinook salmon), 1259 nucleotides long. The record is from Ensembl. Lineage: Eukaryota; Metazoa; Chordata; Actinopteri; Salmoniformes; Salmonidae.
AGACCCAGAUUAAACAAAUAAGCAAGAGACUAAGCAGGAAUAAUAACCAAACCCAUGUGAGGUCUGGGCGAUAGAUAACGCUUUGGGUAUGUCCACCAUCCUGGAGGACAGGGACCGUUAUUCCCUCGUGUUCAAAGUGUUGUUUCUGCUUUGAUCUUUUGAUUUGUUGGAAAGCACUCAGCGUUAGGACUCAGCGAAGAGAUUUGGCUGGACUGACUGUAGUUCCCCCUUGAGAUUAUAGGAAAGCGAUUUCUUUCCAUAUUAGUUACUUUUUAGUUGGGCAACUAACCACAGAGUUGGUACUUCAAGUGUCGGUCAGCAUAAACACACACCCACACACACAAACAUGUAAUUGUGUAGAGAAGAUUGAAUUCUCUUGAACAAGUCAAUCCACCCAGUCUCUGUGGUUCCGUCGUUUAUGCACGCUACAUGACCAGGAUUCACAUCACUGUUUGAUUAUUACUGUUCAGAUGUUUUUACUUCAAAGAAUGUUUUUUUUUAAAUGUUAGGACAACUGUUCAGAUAUUUAAAUAUAUGCUUAACUUGAUGUUGACGAUGCCUUCCAGCUCCAAGCCAGUCACCAUUUUGAGUAGAUCAGAAUAUAAUAUCUUUGUCUGUUUAAAUGGAACAUAUACUGUGUCUGUUUGGACUUCAAAGUCAAGUUUGUUUCAGUAAAUGUCAUAUACGUUAAGUUGUAGACACAAGUAUUGCACAGCUAUUUCUAAAUGGACUAAAUGCAUACAUACACAGAUACCUUACCAUAUUACCAUAUCUCAAACUGAUCCAUUAGGAAACCUGUUUUGUUAUGGAUGGUGUUGUUUUUUGUAUAUUUUAUAGUGUUUCUGUAUUUUUGUUAAUGAGAUACUUUUUAUGUAUUUAGUUCACAAACAUUUGAAUAUUUUUCAAUAAUUUAUAUUUUAUAAAAGAAAAAGACAGACAGCUGGUGCUUUCAUGGGAAAUAAAGGUAGCACAGGAAAAAAUGUAGCGAUUUUCUUUCGAUAUAGAGAAUAGACCUUUCUGUUAAAGAAAAAGGCUGAUGCUGGCCCAUCAUUGAUUUCUGCUGGAAAGUUUUAUAAACUGAAGCUUCUAUUUCUUAAUGUACUUUUAAAAAAAAUAUGUCAUAAAAAAAUAUAUGUGAACAAAUAUUUCAUACUUUGUGUGUAUUGUGUGGUUAUUUCUUCUAAUAUUACCAGAGCAAAAAAGGCGUUUGAAACAUUACAUCUAUACUGUAACUUACAGUACAUUGAGCUCUUAACAUG